GGCUCAGAACGAACGCUGGCGGCGUGCUUAACACAUGCAAGUCGAACGCGAAAGGGACUUCGGUCCUGAGUAAAGUGGCGCACGGGUGAGUAACGCGUGGAUAAUCUACCCAAUGGUCUGGGAUAACAUUUCGAAAGGGGUGCUAAUACCGGAUAAGACCACGGAGUCUUUGGACUCUGCGGUAAAAGGUGGGGACCUUCGGGCCUACCGCAAUUGGAUGAGUCCGCGUACCAUUAGCUAGUUGGUAGGGUAAAGGCCUACCAAGGCGACGAUGGUUAGCUGGUCUGAGAGGAUGAUCAGCCACACUGGAACUGAGACACGGUCCAGACUCCUACGGGAGGCAGCAGUGGGGAAUUUUGCGCAAUGGGGGAAACCCUGACGCAGCAACGCCGCGUGAGUGAUGAAGGCCUUCGGGUCGUAAAGCUCUGUCAGAGGGGAAGAAAUGCGGGGUGCUAAUAUCACUUCCGCUUGACGGUACCCUCAAAGGAAGCACCGGCUAACUCCGUGCCAGCAGCCGCGGUAAUACGGAGGGUGCGAGCGUUGUUCGGAAUUAUUGGGCGUAAAGCGCGUGUAGGCGGUUUGUUAAGUCUGACGUGAAAGCCCCGGGCUCAACCUGGGAAGUGCAUUGGAAACUGGCAGACUUGAAUACGGGAGAGGGUAGUGGAAUUCCUAGUGUAGGAGUGAAAUCCGUAGAUAUUAGGAGGAACACCGGUGGCGAAGGCGGCUGCCUGGACCGAUAUUGACGCUGAGACGCGAAAGCGUGGGGAGCAAACAGGAUUAGAUACCCUGGUAGUCCACGCCGUAAACGAUGAGUACUAGGUGUUGCGGGUAUUGACCCCUGCAGUGCCGCAGCUAACGCAUUAAGUACUCCGCCUGGG
This 878-nucleotide ribosomal RNA is filed under the name uncultured bacterium. RNAcentral describes it as "bacterial SSU rRNA". It matches the Rfam family "Bacterial small subunit ribosomal RNA", at positions 21 to 877 of the family's 1533-position model. The record is from RNAcentral.